This 467-nucleotide ribosomal RNA is filed under the name uncultured bacterium. Its description in RNAcentral is "bacterial SSU rRNA". It matches the Rfam family "Bacterial small subunit ribosomal RNA", at positions 335 to 799 of the family's 1533-position model. The record is from RNAcentral.
ACUCCUACGGGAGGCAGCAGUGGGGAAUCUUGCGCAAUGGGCGGAAGCCUGACGCAGCAACGCCGCGUGAGGGAUGACGGCCUUCGGGUUGUAAACCUCUUUCGCGAUCGACGAAGGUCAUGCUUCUGGCAUGGCUGACGGUAGGUCGAGAAGAAGCACCGGCCAACUACGUGCCAGCAGCCGCGGUAAUACGUAGGGUGCGAGCGUUGUCCGGAAUUAUUGGGCGUAAAGAGCUCGUAGGCGGUGUGUCGCGUCGGCCGUGAAAACCUGGGGCUUAACUCUGGGCGUGCGGUCGAUACGGGCAUCACUAGAGUUCGGCAGGGGAGACUGGAAUUCCUGGUGUAGCGGUGAAAUGCGCAGAUAUCAGGAGGAACACCGGUGGCGAAGGCGGGUCUCUGGGCCGAUACUGACGCUGAGGAGCGAAAGCAUGGGUAGCGAACAGGAUUAGAUACCCUGGUAGCUACGAG